Molecule: long non-coding RNA, 324 nt
Organism: Brassica rapa (field mustard)
Lineage: Eukaryota; Viridiplantae; Streptophyta; Magnoliopsida; Brassicales; Brassicaceae
Source: RefSeq, a predicted model, not a curated record
GGAGUUGGGAAGAAGAAGUUAUCCCACUUUUAAAUCAGGUGAUUCCAGUUUCCCAGUUUUGGAAUAGCACAGCUUCUUUGUCGUUCCAAUCAAACCAGGAUGAAUCACUUUGUAAUAAUCUUGAUUUGGAUACAUAAAGUGGUGGAGAAUCACCAGGAAGUUGAAUAAAUCUCAUAGGAGUUGGGAAGAAGAAGUUAUCCCACUUUCAAAUCAGGUGAUUCCAGUUUCCCAGUUUGGGAAUAGCACAGCUUCUUCGUCGUUCCAAUCAAACCAGGAUGAAUCACUUUGUGAGAAGCUUGAUUUGGAUACAUAAAGUGGUGGAGA